GACGAACGCUGGCGGCGUGCUUAACACAUGCAAGUCGAACGGACAGGCCCUGCUUUUGUGGGGUGCUCGAGUGGCGAACGGGUGAGUAACACGUGAGUACCCUGCCCCUGACUUUGGGAUAACUUCAUACCACUUGGGCUAAUACCGGAUAGGAGCUCCUGCUUCUUGGUGGGGGUUGGUAAGUUUCGGCGGUUGGGGAUGGACUGGCGUCUGAUCAGCUUGUUGGUGGGGUAGUGGCUUACCAAGGCUUUGACGCGUAGCCGGGCUGAGAGGGUGACCGGACACAUCGCGACGGAGAUGCGGCCCAGACUCCUACGGGACGCAACAGUGGGGUAUAUUGCACUAUGGGCUGAACCCUGAUGCAGCACAGCCGCGUGGGGGAUGACGGGCUUCGGGUUGGAAAGUACUUUCCUCUGUGACGAAACGUGAGUGACGGUAAUGGGUAAAGAAGCACCGGCUAACUACGUG
This 468-nucleotide ribosomal RNA is filed under the name uncultured bacterium. Its description in RNAcentral is "partial 16S ribosomal RNA". It matches the Rfam family "Bacterial small subunit ribosomal RNA", at positions 28 to 507 of the family's 1533-position model. The record is from RNAcentral.